RNAcentral lists this ribosomal RNA (497 nucleotides) under uncultured bacterium. Its description in RNAcentral is "bacterial SSU rRNA". It matches the Rfam family "Bacterial small subunit ribosomal RNA", at positions 33 to 507 of the family's 1533-position model. The record is from RNAcentral.
ACACGCUGGCGGCGUGCUUAACACAUGCAAGUCGAACGGAGAAUUAUUUCGGUAAAUUCUUAGUGGCGAACGGUGAGUAACGCGUGGGCAACCUGCCCUUCAGAUGGGGACAACAUUCCGAAAGGGGUGCUAAUACCGAAUACGAUCACGCUGCCGCAUGGCGGUGUGAUGAAAGAUGGCCUCUAUUUAUAAGCUAUCGCUGAAGGAUGGGCCUGCGUCUGAUUAGCUAGUUGGUGGGGUAACGGCCUACCAAGGCGAUGAUCAGUAGCCGGUCUGAGAGGAUGAACGGCCACAUUGGGACUGAGACACGGCCCAAACUCCUACGGGAGGCAGCAGUGGGGAAUAUUCCGCAAUGGACGAAAGUCUGACGGAGCAACGCCGCGUGAGUGAUGAAGGUUUUCGGACUGUAAAACUCUGUUGUUUAGGACGAAAGUGCCUGUUGCAAAUAGUUGCAGGUAUUGACGGUACUGAACGAGGAAGCCACGGCUAACUACGUG